RNAcentral lists this ribosomal RNA (301 nucleotides) under uncultured bacterium. RNAcentral's name for it is "partial 16S ribosomal RNA". It matches the Rfam family "Bacterial small subunit ribosomal RNA", at positions 509 to 807 of the family's 1533-position model. The record is from RNAcentral.
CAGUCUCCGCGGUAAUACGUAGGGUGCAAGCGUUAAUCGGAAUUACUGGGCGUAAAGCGUGCGCAGGCGGUUAUAUAAGACAGAUGUGAAAUCCCCGGGCUCAACCUGGGAACUGCAUUUGUGACUGUAUAGCUAGAGUACGGCAGAGGGGGAUGGAAUUCCGCGUGUAGCAGUGAAAUGCGUAGAUAUGCGGAGGAACACCGAUGGCGAAGGCAAUCCCCUGGGCCUGUACUGACGCUCAUGCACGAAAGCGUGGGGAGCAAACAGGAUUAGAUACCCCGGUAGUCCCUGUCUCUUAUAC